RNAcentral lists this ribosomal RNA (540 nucleotides) under uncultured bacterium. Its description in RNAcentral is "partial 16S ribosomal RNA". It matches the Rfam family "Bacterial small subunit ribosomal RNA", at positions 355 to 887 of the family's 1533-position model. The record is from RNAcentral.
UGGGGAAUAUUGCACAAUGGGCGCAAGCCUGAUGCAGCCAUGCCGCGUGUGUGAAGAAGGCCUUCGGGUUGUAAAGCACUUUCAGCGAGGAGGGAGGUGGUGAACUUAAUACGUUCAUCAAUUGACGUUACUCGCAGAAGAAGCACCGGCUAACUCCGUGCCAGCAGCCGCGGUAAUACGGAGGGUGCAAGCGUUAAUCGGAAUUACUGGGCGUAAAGCGCACGCAGGCGGUUUGUUAAGUCAGAUGUGAAAUCCCCGGGCUCAACCUGGGAACUGCAUUUGAAACUGGCAAGCUAGAGUCUCGUAGAGGGGGGUAGAAUUCCAGGUGUAGCGGUGAAAUGCGUAGAGAUCUGGAGGAAUACCGGCGGCGAAGGCGGCCCCCUGGACGAAGACUGACGCUCAGGUGCGAAAGCGCGGGGAGCAAACAGGAUUAGAUACCCUGGUAGUCCACGCUGUAAACGAUGUCGAUUUGGAGGUUGUGCCCUUGAGGCGUGGCUUCCGGAGCUAACGCGUUAAAUCGACCGCCUGGGGAGUACGGCC